RNAcentral lists this ribosomal RNA (465 nucleotides) under uncultured bacterium. RNAcentral's name for it is "partial 16S ribosomal RNA". It matches the Rfam family "Bacterial small subunit ribosomal RNA", at positions 338 to 795 of the family's 1533-position model. The record is from RNAcentral.
CCUACGGGAGGCAGCAGUGGGGAAUAUUGCGCAAUGGGCGAAAGCCUGACGCAGCGACGCCGCGUGAGGGAUGAAGGUCCUCGGAUCGUUAACCUCUGUCAGCAGGGAAGAACGGUCACUGUGCUAAUCAGCAGUGAAUUGACGGUACCUGCAAAGGAAGCACCGGCUAACUCAGUGCCAGCAGCCGCGGUAAUACGGAGGGUGCGAGCGUUAAUCGGAAUUUCUGGGCGUAAAGCGCUCGUAGGCGGUAUGUCAAGUCAAGGGUGAAAUCCCCGCGCUCAACGUGGGAACUGCCUUGGAAACUGGGAAACUGGAGUGUGUGAGAGGAUAGCGGAAUUCCAGGUGUAGGAGUGAAAUCCGUAGAUAUCUGGAGGAACAUCAGUGGCGAAGGCGACUAUCUGGCACAUAACUGACGCUGAGGAGCGAAAGCGUGGGUAGCGAACAGGAUUAGAUACCCCUGUAGUC